UACGAAGGGGGCUAGCGUUGCUCGGAUUGACUGGGCGUAAAGGGCGCGUAGGCGGUUCGUACAGUCAGACGUGAAAUUCCUGGGCUCAACCUGGGGGCUGCGUUUGAUACGUGCGGACUUGAGUGCGGAAGAGGGCCGUGGAAUUCCCAGUGUAGAGGUGAAAUUCGUAGAUAUUGGGAAGAACACCGGUGGCGAAGGCGGCGACCUGGUCCGAUACUGACGCUGAGGCGCGAAAGCGUGGGGAGCAAACAGG
Molecule: ribosomal RNA, 253 nt
Filed under: uncultured bacterium
Lineage: Bacteria
Description: partial 16S ribosomal RNA
Rfam family: Bacterial small subunit ribosomal RNA
Source: RNAcentral